GAGAAAUGAUGAACAUGUGAACAUUCUUCAUGCCAAGGUGAAGACGUAAGAUCCAACUCUGAGCUCACCCUGCU
This is a small nucleolar RNA of Leptonychotes weddellii (Weddell seal), 74 nucleotides long. RefSeq annotates it as small nucleolar RNA SNORD19. NCBI's taxonomy places the organism in Eukaryota, Metazoa, Chordata, Mammalia, Carnivora, Phocidae. The record is from RefSeq and is a predicted model, not a curated record.